This 21-nucleotide non-coding RNA is filed under the name Caenorhabditis elegans. The record is from RNAcentral. Lineage: Eukaryota; Metazoa; Nematoda; Chromadorea; Rhabditida; Rhabditidae.
CGAAGUCGGAAGAAAACAAGU